Molecule: long non-coding RNA, 1057 nt
Organism: Oncorhynchus tshawytscha (Chinook salmon)
Lineage: Eukaryota; Metazoa; Chordata; Actinopteri; Salmoniformes; Salmonidae
Exons: 3
Source: RefSeq, a predicted model, not a curated record
CUUGCGCAGUAACCUGUAUGUCUUUAAAAAGCCGCUUGCUGGGCUAGAAAGAGAAGGGAAGCCUCUGCUAACCAAAGAUAACGAAUUAGCUAGAUCAAUAAAAGCGUUGUACAGUCAUUUAGCUAGCUAUUUUAAUAUAUGAUUAAAUAAACUACCAAGAUAGUGGCGUAAUAUUGUUGCUGUUGGUAAUCUUAGUUUACAAUGCUAUGCUAACUUUAGCUAGCUACGUAGCUAACGUUACUUGACUAUCAUUUCCAAAGCUGCAAAAUAAGAAGUUCUCAAUCUAACAUUAAUCCUCUACAAUAUAUAUUUGUCUCACAAUAUAUGACGCAGCUGACGACGAAGAUGCUGCUUUUUGGCAACACCUUCUGUCCACAGAAUACCCCUCGCAAGUCUGUUUCUGUCUUAAAUCUGCACACGUUGGAUUGGUCUACGAGGGAAAUAGAGUUGGGUCUUGAGUAUGGAGCCCCUGUUAUGAACAUUGGGGGCCAUAGCUUGACAUUUGAAGACGGACAAUGGAUUGCUGUCUGAAGGGAAUGUAUCUGGGAAGGAGGCGAAGACUGAAAAAUAGCAACCUAUAGCUUGAAAAGGAGAACAACCUACUCAGGCUGAAGAUUGACCUCCUGUUGGACAUGGUAGAUUCUCAUCAGCUUGAAGCAUCCCAUUGAAUACAGUUGCAUAGAUACAGUAUAAGCCAUACAAUACAGUAUGCUUAUACAGUAUAAGCCAUACAAUUAACCUUGAAUACGGGAUUCCCUUUAUAGGCCAUUAUUAAUAAUUUAUCGGAGCAAGUAACUGAUUCCCUUUUUCUUAAGUUGUCAGAAACCACUGCAGAGUAUCACCUGAUGGAGAAGCAGCUGGAAAAGAUGAAGAUUCUCAGUCGAAGGAAGAAGUGAUGAAUAGACAAUUACAGACAGGUUCCCAGUGAUACCUGAAAAUUAAGAAGGGAAUAGAUAAAGGAUUGUGAGUGUUAGUGACCAAUUAAUUGUAUUUGAUUUAUUUUACCUUUAUUUAAUCAGGAAAGUCAGUUAAGAACAAAUUCUUCUUUUUUUUUAAC